RNAcentral lists this long non-coding RNA (306 nucleotides) under Homo sapiens (human). RNAcentral describes it as "non-protein coding LINC02002:12". Lineage: Eukaryota; Metazoa; Chordata; Mammalia; Primates; Hominidae. The record is from RNAcentral.
UUUCACAAGUUGAACUUUUCUUUUGAUUCAACAGGUUGGAAACACUCUUUUGUAAAAUCUACAAAGAAACAUUUUGGAGUCCAUUGAGGCCUAUAGUGAAAAACUGAAUAUUUCGCCUUGAAAACCAGAAACAAGCUAUCUGUGAAAAUGCUUUGUGAUGGAAGAUUUAUCUCACAGAGUUAAACGUUUGUAUUGAUUCAGCUGGCUGGCAACACUCUUUUUGUAAAAUCUACAAUGGGACAUUUCAGAGACCAUUGAAGUCUACAGAAAAAGACUGAAUAUCCCAUGAUUAAAACUAGAAACAAG